RNAcentral lists this ribosomal RNA (1020 nucleotides) under Endothia sp. NIOCC 16V. RNAcentral's name for it is "SSU rRNA". It matches the Rfam family "Eukaryotic small subunit ribosomal RNA", at positions 79 to 1109 of the family's 1831-position model. Lineage: Eukaryota; Fungi; Ascomycota; Sordariomycetes; Diaporthales; Cryphonectriaceae. The record is from RNAcentral.
CGGCGAAACUGCGAAUGGCUCAUUAAAUCAGUUAUCGUAUAUUUGAUAGUACCUACUACAUGGAUAACCGUGGUAAUUCUAGAGCUAAUACAUGCUUAAAAUCCCGACUUCGGAAGGGAUGUAUUUAUUAGAUUAAAAACCAAUGCCCUUCGGGGCUCACUGGUGAUUCAUAAUAACUUCUCGAAUCGCAUGGCCUUGCGCCGGCGAUGGUUCAUUCAAAUUUCUGCCCUAUCAACUUUCGACGGCUGGGUCUUGGCCAGCCGUGGUUACAACGGGUAACGGAGGGUUAGGGCUUGACCCCGGAGAAGGAGCCUGAGAAACGGCUACUACAUCCAAGGAAGGCAGCAGGCGCGCAAAUUACCCAAUCCCGACUCGGGGAGGUAGUGACAAUAAAUACUGAUACAGGGCUCUUUUGGGUCUUGUAAUUGGAAUGAGUACAAUUUAAAUCCCUUAACGAGGAACAAUUGGAGGGCAAGUCUGGUGCCAGCAGCCGCGGUAAUUCCAGCUCCAAUAGCGUAUAUUAAAGUUGUUGCAGUUAAAAAGCUCGUAGUUGAACCUUGGGCCUGGCUGGCCGGUCUGCCUCACCGCAUGCACUGGUCCGGCCGGGCCUUUCCCUCUGGGGAGCCGCAUGCCCUUCACUGGGUGUGUCGGGGAACCAGGACUUUUACUGUGAAAAAAUUAGAGUGUUCAAAGCAGGCAUAUGCUCGAAUACAUUAGCAUGGAAUAAUAGAAUAGGACGUCGCGGUUCUAUUUUGUUGGUUUCUAGGACCGCCGUAAUGAUUAAUAGGGACAGUCGGGGGCAUCAGUAUUCAAUCGUCAGAGGUGAAAUUCUUGGAUCGAUUGAAGACUAACUACUGCGAAAGCAUUUGCCAAGGAUGUUUUCAUUAAUCAGGAACGAAAGUUAGGGGAUCGAAAACGAUCAGAUACCGUUGUAGUCUUAACCAUAAACUAUGCCGACUAGGGAUCGGGCGGUGUUAUUUCUUGACCCGCUCGGCACCUUACACGAAAGUAAAGUUUUUG